RNAcentral lists this ribosomal RNA (503 nucleotides) under uncultured bacterium. Its description in RNAcentral is "partial 16S ribosomal RNA". The record is from RNAcentral.
GGAGUUAGCCGGUGCUUCUUCUGUGAGUGAUGUCCUUCCUGCCGGCUAUUAACCCGCAGGCCUUCUUCCUCACUGAAAGUGCUUUACAACCCGAAGGCCUUCUUCACACACGCGGCAUGGCUGGAUCAGGGUUGCCCCCAUUGUCCAAUAUUCCCCACUGCUGCCUCCCGUAGGAGUCUGGGCCGUGUCUCAGUCCCAGUGUGGCUGAUCAUCCUCUCAGACCAGCUACGGAUCGUCGCCUUGGUGAGCCGUUACCUCACCAACCAGCUAAUCCGACAUAGGCUCAUCCGAUAGCGCGAGGCCCGAAGGUCCCCCGCUUUCCCCCGUAGGGCGUAUGCGGUAUUAGCCUGGGUUUCCCCAGGUUAUCCCCCACUACCGGGCAGAUUCCUAUGCAUUACUCACCCGUCCGCCGCUCGCCACCAGGGAGCAAGCUCCCCGUGCUGCCGCUCGACUUGCAUGUGUAGCUCGCCGCCACGCGUCAUCUGAGCAUGAUCAACUACUGA